GACGAACGCUGGCGGCGUGCUUAACACAUGCAAGUCGAACGGACAGGCCAUGCUUUUGUGGCGUGCUCGUUAGGCGAACAGGGGAGUGAAACGCGUGUAAAAUCCCCUUAACUUUGGGAUAUAUUCAGGAAACUCGGGCUAUUACCGGGUAUAAGCUACUGAUGCGUAGGGGGGGAUGGUAAGUUUCGGCGGUUGGGGCUGGAAUCGCGGCUUAUCCGCUUGUUGGGGGGGUUGUGGCUUACAAAGGCUAUGACUGGUAGCCGGCCUGGGAGGGUGACCGGCGACAUUGGUACUGAGAUACGGCGCAGACUCCUACGGGACGCAGCAGUGGGGAAUAUUGCACAGUGGGCCGACGUCUGAUGCAGCGACGCCGCGUGCGUGAUGACGGCCUUCGGGUUGUAAACCGCUUUCGCCUGUGCUGAAGCCUUAGUGACGGUAAUGGGUAAAGAAGCACCGGCUAACUACGUG
This 468-nucleotide ribosomal RNA is filed under the name uncultured bacterium. RNAcentral's name for it is "partial 16S ribosomal RNA". It matches the Rfam family "Bacterial small subunit ribosomal RNA", at positions 28 to 507 of the family's 1533-position model. The record is from RNAcentral.